This 360-nucleotide unclassified non-coding RNA is filed under the name Viola orbelica. Its description in RNAcentral is "partial contains external transcribed spacer and 18S ribosomal RNA". The record is from RNAcentral. Lineage: Eukaryota; Viridiplantae; Streptophyta; Magnoliopsida; Malpighiales; Violaceae.
UGCCUUGUUCCUGUGCUGCCUACCGUCUAUCGCGGAAUCCAAACGUUGUUGCUGCCCCUUCUUAUCCCUUGCCUUUACCUAGGCUCGGGCUGGACCCUGAUGCGGUUCGAGUGCCCCAAGCACGCCCACUCGGCUGCUAUGGAUCACUCGUUGCCGCUCGUGCAUUCGGAUGCSGAACGCUAAGCGAUGCCGGGGCGCGCACAGCAGCCCCCGCAUGACCCUAAACAACGGCGAAACUUCGCUCCCCGAGAAUGACCACCGCCGCGCUCGCUCUUCCAUCCAACCGUUCGCUCGGCGAUGGGAGCUAGCGCGCCGCGGUGCCUUCAAGGGCCGCUACCUGGUUGAUCCUGCCAGUAGUCA